ACCUCCACUCUCUAUCUAAGCUCAAAGCAUCUCUCAUACAAACCCUAAUCAUCACGCGCAUCUCAUUUCACUUCCUUCACUCCUUCAUAUUCUCCAUUCUUGUUCACAGCACUUUAUGCUUCCUGUGAAGAGGUCAUCGAUAGUUGAAGUCGGAGGAGAUAACGACGGAGUUUCAGUGGAUCCUUUAACGAAGAAGUACAAGACCGCCGCCGCCGCUGCUGGUGGUGAUUCAUCGACGGUGACUAUGGCAGGAGCUGGUUCUGCUACCGGUGAUGUUAGCGCUAACGGUAACGCUACUAAUGGACGUACUGGUGGUGUAUCUCCGGUCGAUCUGCGUAAUCUGUCUGA
RNAcentral lists this unclassified non-coding RNA (348 nucleotides) under Hevea brasiliensis (rubber tree). The record is from RNAcentral. Lineage: Eukaryota; Viridiplantae; Streptophyta; Magnoliopsida; Malpighiales; Euphorbiaceae.